GGAGGGUGCAAGCGUUAAUCGGAUUUAUUGGGSGUAAAGGGGGCGCAGGCGGGAAGAUAAGUCAGAUGUGAAAGCCCAGGGCUCAACCUUGGAACAGCAUUUGAAACUAUUUUUCUUGAGGAUAGGCGGAGAAAACGGAAUUCCACAAGUAGCGGUGAAAUGCGUAGAUAUGUGGAAGAACACCCGUGGCGAAAGCGGUUUUCUAGCUUAUACCUGACGCUGAGGCCCGAAAGCUAGGGGAGCAAACAGGAUUAGAUACCCUGGUAGUCCUAGCCGUAAACGAUGUGUACUUGGUGUAACUGAACUCAACCUCAGUUGUGCCGUAGCUAACGCGAUAAGUACACCGCCUGGGGAGUACGCUCGCAAGGGUG
RNAcentral lists this ribosomal RNA (371 nucleotides) under uncultured bacterium. RNAcentral's name for it is "bacterial SSU rRNA". It matches the Rfam family "Bacterial small subunit ribosomal RNA", at positions 527 to 896 of the family's 1533-position model. The record is from RNAcentral.